Non-coding RNA from Phoenix dactylifera (date palm), 740 nucleotides. NCBI's taxonomy places the organism in Eukaryota, Viridiplantae, Streptophyta, Magnoliopsida, Arecales, Arecaceae. The record is from RefSeq and is a predicted model, not a curated record.
GAGUUGGUGAUAUGGAGCGGUUUGGCUGCACGAUUGAAAUGGAGCCCAGAACCCUGAGUGAAGGAGAACUGAACGAUGCACGGGAUCUCAUGGAGCACGUAGAAAUGGAGGAGGCUACUUCCUUUAAUUGAAGGCACAGCCAGAAGUAUGCAAAACAAGUAGCAGAACAUGAAAAAUAGGCUUCCUCCAAUGUUUCUCACAUGAUCUUCCAUGUGUUUUCCCUCGGUUUCUAGCAUGUAUUUUAACUAAUUAAGCCAUCAUCCAUCUCAUCCAAUGGAAGGAUGAACACUUGUUUCCAGUAGAUUCUUUGGAAGCAUGCCUAAUAAUCUGGAUAAAGGCUAUGCAGGAAGCAGCAGUGGCCAUAAUACAAAGUAAGGAGCCCAAGGAAGCAUUGAGUAUCUUCACCCAGGGAAAGAGUUUGACUGGAGCCGUAAAAGGACCGGGUGAAGAGGUUGAGAGGCAGGGUCAUGGUAUUGAAGAAGGAACUGGACUUGCUAAAAAAUCUUGGAAUCUUCCAUGCGGUCCUGAUAGCUCUGAAGAAUUCCCUGAUGGAACCAAAUUGAGGGAGCCUCUCUCAUCUCCAUUUUGAAGUGUGACUGUCAUGUUAAAGGCAUUAUAUAUUCUCCUUUUUUUUUGGUUUUAUUUAGAGUGAUAGAAAGCAUCAUUCCUUUUGGAUAAUAAAAAUCUUUAAAAUUUUAUUUCAAUAACAAACUUCGUGCAUAAAAUGCCCUUAUAGUGCA